CCGAGGGAAAGGCUCGUCAUGAUCUUGUCAAACUGAUGAUCGGUGGGACUUUCGUUCGUUA
This 61-nucleotide microRNA precursor is filed under the name Euprymna scolopes. RNAcentral's name for it is "Esc-Mir-278_pre stem-loop". Lineage: Eukaryota; Metazoa; Mollusca; Cephalopoda; Sepiida; Sepiolidae. The record is from RNAcentral.